AAGAGAGAGAAGAAGGGAGAAGAAGAGGGGAGAAGAAGGAAGAUCUGACCUUGUGGAGCAAUAAUGGACCGGAUCUCUUCUUUGUUUUGAGAAAGAUGUCCCUUCUUCGUUCAAUUAUUGCCCCACCAUGACAACAAACCUUUGGUUUGGGUCCACGGAAUAAGUAUAUCUUCUGUAUAAAAUACGUAUACCCAUUUGAUGUUGACGAUUUUUCUCCAAAGUCCAUUUCAUUCUCAGUUUUUGUUGUUGUUUUUUUCCCCUCUUUAAGAUCCUGUCAUUCAUGGUGGUAGAAGAGUGAGCGGAUAGAGAAAGAGAAAAGAGAAUACCAUGAUUGAUAUACGACCCUACCGUUCUGGGGAUUUUGAUUCUGAUGAGAUGAGGCUAAAAAGUAUGAUCAGGGUUUGAGACAUCCUUUUGAUGCUUGUUUGUGGGUUUGAAUUUUCUAGUGCUCUCUGAUUUUGAUUUUGGUGGAAUUGUUAUUGUGGUUUUUUAAAAUUUUAAUGGUGUUGGAAUUUGAUUUUUAACAGUUUCUCUGUUGAUGGGUUUGAAGGAAUUUUGCAUAUGGAACUUUGUAAAACAUUUAGGCUUUCUUGAAGAAAAUCUUGAUUUUAGACCUUCUUCUCAGCUGGAGAAGAAGGAAAAUAAGAAACUACAUUCGCAGAAGCCUUCCUUGUGAGUCCGGAUCCUCGGCCGCACAAGCCUGCGGCCCUCUGUGCGGCACCCAAAAAACGACGUCGUUUUGGAGGAAAUUUCAAUUUAAAAAAGAAAAAAAGCUGAACAGAAAUCAGAGGGGAGGGGAAGAAGAGAGAGAAGAAGGGAGAAGAAGAGGGGAGAAGAAGGGAGAUCUGACCUUGUGGAGCAAUAAUGGACCGGAUCUCUUCUUUGUUUUGAGAAAGAUGUCCCUUCUUCGUUCAAUUAUUGCCCCACCAUGACAACAAACCUUUGGUUUGGGUCCACGGAAUAAAUCCUGUCAUUCAUGGUGGUAGAA
Molecule: non-coding RNA, 988 nt
Organism: Camellia sinensis
Lineage: Eukaryota; Viridiplantae; Streptophyta; Magnoliopsida; Ericales; Theaceae
Source: RefSeq, a predicted model, not a curated record